RNAcentral lists this ribosomal RNA (252 nucleotides) under uncultured bacterium. RNAcentral's name for it is "partial 16S ribosomal RNA". It matches the Rfam family "Bacterial small subunit ribosomal RNA", at positions 524 to 776 of the family's 1533-position model. The record is from RNAcentral.
GACAGAGGGUGCAAACGUUGUUCGGAUUUACUGGCGUAAAGCGCGUGUAGGCGGCUUCGUAAGUUGGAUGUGAAAUCCCACGGCUCAACCGUGGACGUGCAUCCAAAACUACGUCGCUGGAGUCUCGGAGAGGAAGGUGGAAUGCUUGGUGUAGAGGUGAAAUUCGUAGAUAUCAAGCAGAACACCUGCGGCGAAGGCGGCCUUCUGGACGAUGACUGACGCUGAGACGCGAAAGCGUGGGGAGCAAACAGG